Long non-coding RNA from Diuraphis noxia (Russian wheat aphid), 831 nucleotides. The record is from RefSeq and is a predicted model, not a curated record. Lineage: Eukaryota; Metazoa; Arthropoda; Insecta; Hemiptera; Aphididae.
UAAUGGAUUUUGAAACAAUAGAUCUUUUUACUUAUAAGUUAUAAGUAAAAAAAAAACAAACCGUAAUAUUUCACAGACAUGUUCUCAACUAUAUUUUAUAUCAAUUUGGAGUCUUAGCUAUCAGUUAUCACUAUAKCCUGAGUGGUUUUAUCCCGCACAAUAUGGUUUUUGUUAUAUUGUACUUUUAUUAGACAAAAACAACACAUGUGGGUGUUGUGACCUCUUAAAUAAUUUGUAAAAAUUGUAUUGAGUGCCUUUAUAUAUUUUCAUUUAUUAGAUAUUGGGUACAUUCUUUUGGAAGGUUUACACAAUACCUUAACAAGAUUAACCUUAUGUAAACCAGUUAUUAAAAGCAAAAAUAUUAUGAAAUUGAUAUUCAUAUAAUAAGUUUGAUAGGCAAAUUCAGUCUACUGAAGCCAUUCUGUUGAACCAACAUCAAAUUCAAAAUGUUUUAACAACUCAAAUGGACAAACUGUAUUAAACAACUUUACUCAACAAAAAAAUUCUGAUGAUUCUUCUGAUCAUUUAGAGUCAUUUAAACUCCAAGUUUCUAUGUUAAAUAAUCAAAUUGAUACUCUUUUAAGAAAAUUAARUCAUCUAGAAAAGUAUCUAUUGCAACAAAAUGAUUUAAGAAAAAAAGCUGAAAAUAAGCUCCACGAGGAAAUGAUUUUAAAAUCAAAAUUAGAAACGGAAAAACUUGAAGUUAUUGCUAUGCUAACUAAUUUGAAAUUAGUAAAUGUUAGGUUAACUAAGGAAAACAUGGAACUUAAAGAAAUGAUAAUAAAUAAUCAAAAUGCACAGAAUUCAAUGACUUCAUCAUGUACAUCAGAG